GGACGAUUCCAAGGAUCACUGUUGUUGCUAAUUUUUUUUCUUUUAAAAAAUACAGAUAUUUUUAAUAAAAGUAUGUUAAUUAUGUUAACCUGUAAUGGGCUUAUUAUUUCAAAAUCAAUUAACAAUGUAAAUAUUUAAAACUUCUGUGUUAAAAUUUCUAAUAGUAUAAAUAGCAGUAGAUUUAGCCCACUCUAAGGGAGAUGGUUGUGCUUUAGUCAGGAGUAGGCCGAGGCAGCCUUCUGGUGCAGCAUGACUCAGUGGGUUUGGAGGCAGGCACACAACUCCACACAUUAUGUAACCAUGCCAUGUGAGGUGCAUUAGGUGACCACUCAUAUGAGCACGUGCUUGGCUCAAAGCCACUAUUGUCUGUAAAAGGUAAAAUUACCCUGCUGACACUACAUAUGGCUUGCACCCAGAGAGAGAAUAAAGCCAUGUCGAAACCGCCUACUCGAGUGUUUUUCCAGUUACCUGCCACCCACCCACCAACUCCCCUUGGACUUUAGUUUGGGCUAGAACCUGACAAUUGGCAUCACGAACAGGAUCCUAAGGUAAGUGAGCCUUCGGUCCCUGCUGAUUCCAGGUUGGCCAUGUGACCACAACAUGGGUUGUGGUACCCGGUGGUAGCCGUGCUGUGAGGGUGGGCCUGAGUGGAAACCUGGGUGGCAGUAGAUGGGUCCCCCAUGAGCAUGGAGAAGGCGCUGAAGCAGCUGGAAGUGCAGAGCACCAAGAAGGAGAGAGCCUUUGCUGGCAGAGUUGGAUGGGCAUUUUUAACUGUGCUAAGAAAAGUACACACCCAGUCCCUGAGGGAUGCAGACUGGAGGUCUGGCUACACCGAUCUGGAAAAUAAUUAGAGGCUGCCAUGAAUGGGGACCUCCAGGUGCAGGCAGGAUGCCUGGAGGUGUGGCUUCAGAGCUUGGAAAAGGAAUUAGAGGCUACCAUGAAUGCAGGCCUGGGUCCAUCAUCUUGUCUGGAGAUCCCCACUCAGUUUCAUACCAAGGAGGAAGAACCCCUGUUGCGGGCUCACCCGGUGGUCUGACAGAAGGUAGAUCAUGAACAGCCACUGGGGCUCCAAGGGUGGACUCAGGGACUCCCCACCAUAAUGCAACACAUUUCGUAUAUUGCCUGUACCCCAACUGAGUUGCAGGAAUUAGGCAAGCAGUGUUGCCAGUGUCCAGGGGAACCCCUGCCUGCCUGGAUGCUUCGUCUGUGGAACAAGGGAGCAGAUGGUAUCUCCCAUUCCACCUCUGAGAUGGACAAGCUGGCCUCCACCAUGACUCACCCCUCUCUCUGUCAGCGGCUGCAAGUGAGCAGGUGGUUAGUGGCAGCGCAAGGAGACCACACCCUGACUGAGUGGCUACAGGCAGCCAUAUGAACUGUGUGGAAUAAUGCUGGUGAAAUGCCCAAAACUGUGAGUAAAUGGCAGUCAUAUGCCAAUUUGGUGUAAGUCAUUCGGGAGAUGGGUAUGCGGCAGGCUAUGUUUGUCCUGAAUACCUGAGGGCCAGAUGAUAAAUGUUUCACCUCCCACAUGAGGGAUCUCAUGUUGGGUUUGAUGCUCCUGAGCCCCUUUGGCUCCCUAGCUGCUGUCCUCACCCCAUACGUAGGGCACCGCAUACAUGAAGUAACCACUGCCAUGGCGGCUCUCAGGGAAGCAGAAGGCCUUCAGGGGGAUUGGAGGGUCCACACCAUAAAGAAGGGGAAGUUACCCCACCCACAGGGGGCUCCCCCAUAAAAAAAGGGGGCCCCAACGAGUGACACGCUCACAGAUGUGGAUAGAUUUGAUUUUGGCUGGGGUUGACUGAGAGAAAAUUGAUAAGCAGCCCAAUGAAAUACUCCUAACUUUGCGGAGACAGUUGUAUGCAGGGCAGCAAUUCCGGAAAAUGCCCAAAGGGGAGAAAGGCAUUGCUGUGUGACCUGGUCCUACCCAGCUCAGAGACUACUUGCUGCAGCCAGGUGGAAAUGUAGAGCCUUUUCUGUUCAACUAGGGAACUGGCCAAAGGUGUCUGGCUUGGGGGGACACCAGAUGACCAGAGGCCACAUGUGGAAUUGGCAAUCCACUGGUCCCCCACCAAUGUACAGUGGGUGCUGGUGCUGGUAGAUACUGGCAUAGAUUGUAGCCUUGUUUAUGGGAACCCAGUUAAGUUUUUGGGCAAAUCUGCAUAUAUUAAAGGUUACGGAGGCCAGUCAGUGAAAGUGAAACCUGUAUCUCUGUACCUUGGCAUUGGCCACUUGGCUCCUUGCUUAUACACUGUGUAUGUCUCUCCCAUACCUGAAUACAUUCUGGAGGUGGAUAUUUUACAUGGCUUGGAAGCUGUGCCAUCUAUCAUGGAUUUGAUGAACCACUCGACAAUGGAAUUAGGACAGUACCACUAUGUGGUGGACUUGGCCAAUGCAUUCUUCUCAGUUGACCUUGCUCUAGAGAGCCAGGAACAGUUUGCCUUGAUGACAAUGGACUUUCACAGUGUUGCUGCAGGGCUAUGUGCAUAGCUCCACCAUAUGUCAUGGUCUUGUUGCCAUGGAUUUAACAGCCUGAAAAUGUCCAAAGGGAGUCCACUUGUUCCAUUACGUUGAUGAUAUUAUGUUAACCUCUGAUUCUCUUGCAGAUUUAGAAGCAGUGGCACCCCUCUUGUGGCAACAUUUGGCAGCAUGCAGUUGGGCCAUCAACAAAUCCAAGGUCCGAGGGCCUGGAUUACCUGCUAAAUUCUUGGGAGUUAUCUGGUCGGGGCUGAAGUUCCAGGCUGGACCUGAUGCUCCAAACCUUGAAUGAAUGGCCAUGGAAAAGCAGCCCAGCCCAGGUGGAGGCUUUGUUACAUGGGCCACCACCCCUAUUCAGUUGCAGAUACACACCAAGGGUAACCGCCUCUGACCAGGGACACCAUGAUCAACCAGCCAAUGCCAAAGACCUCUGGGGGUCAGACUAUUCUGAGGACUGCUUUGGCUCCACCGUCCACAGUGGCAACCACACCCACUUGGUCUUUUAUGCGGGACAUGGAUGAAGCUGGAAACCAUCAUUCUCAG
This 3015-nucleotide long non-coding RNA is filed under the name Homo sapiens (human). RNAcentral describes it as "HSALNT0311639". Lineage: Eukaryota; Metazoa; Chordata; Mammalia; Primates; Hominidae. The record is from RNAcentral.